Molecule: ribosomal RNA, 253 nt
Filed under: uncultured bacterium
Lineage: Bacteria
Description: partial 16S ribosomal RNA
Rfam family: Bacterial small subunit ribosomal RNA
Source: RNAcentral
GACGGAGGAGGCAAGCGUUAUCCGGAAUUACUGGGCGUAAAGCGUCCGUAGGUGGUGUGUCAAGUCUGGGGUUAAACCCCGGAGCUCAACCCCGGAACUGCCAUGGAAACUGGCAGACUUGAGUGAGGUAGGGGUUGCUGGAAUUCCCGGUGUAGCGGUGAAAUGCGUAGAUAUCGGGAAGAACACCAGCGGCGAAAGCGCGCAACUGGGCCAUUACUGACACUGAGGCACGAAAGCUAGGGGAGCGAAUGGG